UUAAGUUAUUAAGGGCGCACGGUGGAUGCCUUGGCACUAGAAGCCGAUGAAGGACGUUACUAACGACGAUAUGCUUUGGGGAGCUGUAAGUAAGCUUUGAUCCAGAGAUUUCCGAAUGGGGAAACCCAGCAUGAGUUAUGUCAUGUUAUCGAUAUGUGAAUACAUAGCAUAUCAGAAGGCACACCCGGAGAACUGAAACAUCUUAGUACCCGGAGGAAGAGAAAGAAAAUUCGAUUCCCUUAGUAGCGGCGAGCGAAAUGGGAAGAGCCCAAACCAACAAGCUUGCUUGUUGGGGUUGUAGGACACUCUAUACGGAGUUACAAAGGACGACAUUAGACGAAUCAUCUGGAAAGAUGAAUCAAAGAAGGUAAUAAUCCUGUAGUCGAAAAUGUUGUCUCUCUUGAGUGGAUCCUGAGUACGACGGAGCACGUGAAAUUCCGUCGGAAUCUGGGAGGACCAUCUCCUAAGGCUAAAUACUCUCUAGUGACCGAUAGUGAACCAGUACCGUGAGGGAAAGGUGAAAAGCACCCCGGAAGGGGAGUGAAAUAGAACCUGAAACCGUGUGCUUACAAGUAGUCAGAGCCCGUUAAUGGGUGAUGGCGUGCCUUUUGUAGAAUGAACCGGCGAGUUACGAUUUGAUGCAAGGUUAAGCAGUAAAUGUGGAGCCGUAGCGAAAGCGAGUCUGAAUAGGGCGUUUAGUAUUUGGUCGUAGACCCGAAACCAGGUGAUCUACCCUUGGUCAGGUUGAAGUUCAGGUAACACUGAAUGGAGGACCGAACCGACUUACGUUGAAAAGUGAGCGGAUGAACUGAGGGUAGCGGAGAAAUUCCAAUCGAACCUGGAGAUAGCUGGUUCUCUCCGAAAUAGCUUUAGGGCUAGCCUCAAGUGAUGAUUAUUGGAGGUAGAGCACUGUUUGGACGAGGGGCCCCUCUCGGGUUACCGAAUUCAGACAAACUCCGAAUGCCAAUUAAUUUAACUUGGGAGUCAGAACAUGGGUGAUAAGGUCCGUGUUCGAAAGGGAAACAGCCCAGACCACCAGCUAAGGUCCCAAAAUAUAUGUUAAGUGGAAAAGGAUGUGGCGUUGCCCAGACAACUAGGAUGUUGGCUUAGAAGCAGCCAUCAUUUAAAGAGUGCGUAAUAGCUCACUAGUCGAGUGACACUGCGCCGAAAAUGUACCGGGGCUAAACAUAUUACCGAAGCUGUGGAUUGUCCUUUGGACAAUGGUAGGAGAGCGUUCUAAGGGCGUUGAAGCAUGAUCGUAAGGACAUGUGGAGCGCUUAGAAGUGAGAAUGCCGGUGUGAGUAGCGAAAGACGGGUGAGAAUCCCGUCCACCGAUUGACUAAGGUUUCCAGAGGAAGGCUCGUCCGCUCUGGGUUAGUCGGGUCCUAAGCUGAGGCCGACAGGCGUAGGCGAUGGAUAACAGGUUGAUAUUCCUGUACCACCUAUAAUCGUUUUAAUCGAUGGGGGGACGCAGUAGGAUAGGCGAAGCGUGCGAUUGGAUUGCACGUCUAAGCAGUAAGGCUGAGUAUUAGGCAAAUCCGGUACUCGUUAAGGCUGAGCUGUGAUGGGGAGAAGACAUUGUGUCUUCGAGUCGUUGAUUUCACACUGCCGAGAAAAGCCUCUAGAUAGAAAAUAGGUGCCCGUACCGCAAACCGACACAGGUAGUCAAGAUGAGAAUUCUAAGGUGAGCGAGCGAACUCUCGUUAAGGAACUCGGCAAAAUGACCCCGUAACUUCGGGAGAAGGGGUGCUCUUUAGGGUUAACGCCCAGAAGAGCCGCAGUGAAUAGGCCCAAGCGACUGUUUAUCAAAAACACAGGUCUCUGCUAAACCGUAAGGUGAUGUAUAGGGGCUGACGCCUGCCCGGUGCUGGAAGGUUAAGAGGAGUGGUUAGCUUCUGCGAAGCUACGAAUCGAAGCCCCAGUAAACGGCGGCCGUAACUAUAACGGUCCUAAGGUAGCGAAAUUCCUUGUCGGGUAAGUUCCGACCCGCACGAAAGGCGUAACGAUUUGGGCACUGUCUCAACGAGAGACUCGGUGAAAUCAUAGUACCUGUGAAGAUGCAGGUUACCCGCGACAGGACGGAAAGACCCCGUGGAGCUUUACUGUAGCCUGAUAUUGAAAUUCGGCACAGCUUGUACAGGAUAGGUAGGAGCCUUUGAAACGUGAGCGCUAGCUUACGUGGAGGCGCUGGUGGGAUACUACCCUAGCUGUGUUGGCUUUCUAACCCGCACCACUUAUCGUGGUGGGAGACAGUGUCAGGCGGGCAGUUUGACUGGGGCGGUCGCCUCCUAAAAGGUAACGGAGGCGCUCAAAGGUUCCCUCAGAAUGGUUGGAAAUCAUUCAUAGAGUGUAAAGGCAUAAGGGAGCUUGACUGCGAGACCUACAAGUCGAGCAGGGUCGAAAGACGGACUUAGUGAUCCGGUGGUUCCGCAUGGAAGGGCCAUCGCUCAACGGAUAAAAGCUACCCCGGGGAUAACAGGCUUAUCUCCCCCAAGAGUUCACAUCGACGGGGAGGUUUGGCACCUCGAUGUCGGCUCAUCGCAUCCUGGGGCUGUAGUCGGUCCCAAGGGUUGGGCUGUUCGCCCAUUAAAGCGGUACGCGAGCUGGGUUCAGAACGUCGUGAGACAGUUCGGUCCCUAUCCGUCGUGGGCGUAGGAAAUUUGAGAGGAGCUGUCCUUAGUACGAGAGGACCGGGAUGGACAUACCUCUGGUGUACCAGUUGUCGUGCCAACGGCAUAGCUGGGUAGCUAUGUGUGGACGGGAUAAGUGCUGAAAGCAUCUAAGCAUGAAGCCCCCCUCAAGAUGAGAUUUCCCAACUUCGGCUAUAAGAUCCCUCAAAGAUGAUGAGGUUAAUAGGUUCGAGGUGGAAGCAUGGUGACAUGUGGAGCUGACGAAUACUAAUCGAUCGAAGACUUAAUCAA
RNAcentral lists this ribosomal RNA (2921 nucleotides) under Staphylococcus aureus subsp. aureus JKD6159. RNAcentral's name for it is "bacterial LSU rRNA". It matches the Rfam family "Bacterial large subunit ribosomal RNA". The record is from RNAcentral. Lineage: Bacteria; Bacillati; Bacillota; Bacilli; Caryophanales; Staphylococcaceae.